GGCUGGACCGGAGACAGGUGCUGCAUGGCUGUCGUCAGCUCGUGUCGUGAGAUGUUGGGUUAAGUCCCGCAACGAGCGCAACCCCGUCCUUAGUUGCUACCAUUUAGUUGAGCACUCUAAGGAGACUGCCGGUGAUAAGCCGCGAGGAAGGUGGGGAUGACGUCAAGUCCUCAUGGCCCUUACGGGCUGGGCUACACACGUGCUACAAUGGCGGUGACAAUGGGAUGCGAAAGGGCAACCUCUAGCAAAUCUCAAAAAGCCGUCUCAGUUCGGAUUGGGCUCUGCAACUCGAGCCCAUGAAGUUGGAAUCGCUAGUAAUCGUGGAUCAGCAUGCCACGGUGAAUACGUUCCCGGGCCUUGUACACACCGCCCGUCACACCAUGGGAGUUGGUUUUACCUGAAGGUAGGUGCGCUAACCAGCAAUGGAGGCAGCCGGCCACGGUAGGGUCAGCGACUGGGGUGAAGUCGUAACAAGGUAGCCGUAGGGGAACCUGCGGCUGGAUCACCUCCUUUCUG
Molecule: ribosomal RNA, 516 nt
Filed under: uncultured Aquicella sp.
Lineage: Bacteria; Pseudomonadati; Pseudomonadota; Gammaproteobacteria; Legionellales; Coxiellaceae
Description: bacterial SSU rRNA
Rfam family: Bacterial small subunit ribosomal RNA
Source: RNAcentral